GACGAACGCUGGCGGCGUGCUUAACACAUGCAAGUCGAACGGAAAGGCCCUGCUUUUGUGGGGUGCUCGAGUGGCGAACGGGUGAGUAACACGUGAGUAACCUGCCCUUGACUUUGGGAUAACUUCAGGAAACUGGGGCUAAUACCGGAUAGGAGCUCCUGCUGCAUGGUGGGGGUUGGAAAGUUUCGGCGGUUGGGGAUGGACUCGCGGCUUAUCAGCUUGUUGGUGGGGUAGUGGCUUACCAAGGCUUUGACGGGUAGCCGGCCUGAGAGGGUGACCGGCGACAAUGGGACUGAGGUACGGCCCAGACUCCUACGGGAGGCAGAAGGGGGAAAUAUUGCACAAUGGGCGGAAGCCUGAUGCAGCAACGCCGCGUGCGGGAUGACGGCCUUAGGGUUGUAAACCGCUUUCGCCUGAGACGAAGCGUGAGUGACGGUAAUGGGUAAAGAAGCACCGGCUAACUACGUG
RNAcentral lists this ribosomal RNA (468 nucleotides) under uncultured bacterium. RNAcentral's name for it is "partial 16S ribosomal RNA". It matches the Rfam family "Bacterial small subunit ribosomal RNA", at positions 28 to 507 of the family's 1533-position model. The record is from RNAcentral.